This 73-nucleotide non-coding RNA is filed under the name Aliidiomarina maris. The record is from RNAcentral. Lineage: Bacteria; Pseudomonadati; Pseudomonadota; Gammaproteobacteria; Alteromonadales; Idiomarinaceae.
AACCGCCGUGGUACGGAACCGUAUGCCCGGUGGUGUGAGAGGACGGAGGCCGUGAGGCCUCCUCCUACUCGAU